Molecule: ribosomal RNA, 255 nt
Filed under: uncultured bacterium
Lineage: Bacteria
Description: partial 16S ribosomal RNA
Rfam family: Bacterial small subunit ribosomal RNA
Source: RNAcentral
UACGUAGGGGGCGAGCGUUGUCCGGAUUCAUUGGGCGUAAAGCGCGCGUAGGCGGCCCCCGCAAGUCGGCCGUGAAAUCUCCGGGCUCAACUCGGAGGGGUCGGGCGAGACUGCGAGGCUCGAGGUGGGCAGAGGGCAGUGGAAUUCCGGGUGUAGUGGUGGAAUGCGUAGAUAUGCGGAGGAACACCGAUGGCGAAGGCAAUCCCCCUGGACCUGUACUGACGCUCAUGCACGAAAGCGUGGGGAGCAAACAGG